RNAcentral lists this transfer RNA (69 nucleotides) under Pteroxanium insularum. RNAcentral describes it as "tRNA-Ser". The record is from RNAcentral. Lineage: Eukaryota; Metazoa; Arthropoda; Insecta; Psocodea; Lepidopsocidae.
AGUUAAUUAAUCUAAAAUAAGAUUAUUAUUUUGAAAAUAAUAUAUAGAAAUUAAAAUUUCUAUUAACUU